RNAcentral lists this transfer RNA (72 nucleotides) under Ornithorhynchus anatinus (platypus). It matches the Rfam family "tRNA". Rfam says of the family: Transfer RNA (tRNA) molecules are approximately 80 nucleotides in length. Their secondary structure includes four short double-helical elements and three loops (D, anti-codon, and T loops). The record is from Rfam by way of RNAcentral. Lineage: Eukaryota; Metazoa; Chordata; Mammalia; Monotremata; Ornithorhynchidae.
AGCAGUGUGGCUUAGUAGCAAGAGCAUGGGCUUGGGAAUCAGAGGACUUGGGUUCUAAUCCCAGCUCUACCA